RNAcentral lists this ribosomal RNA (460 nucleotides) under uncultured bacterium. RNAcentral describes it as "partial 16S ribosomal RNA". It matches the Rfam family "Bacterial small subunit ribosomal RNA", at positions 338 to 795 of the family's 1533-position model. The record is from RNAcentral.
CCUACGGGGUGCUGCAGUGAGGAAUAUUGGUCAAUGGCCGGAAGGCUGAACCAGCCAUGCCGCGUGAAGGUCAGUGCCCUAUGGGCGUUAAACUUCUUUUGUGCGGGAGCAAUAAUGGUCACGUGUGGCCAGACGAGAGUACCGUACGAAUAAGCCUCGGCUAACUCCGUGCCAGCAGCCGCGGUAAUACGGUGGAUGCAAGCGUUAUCCGGAUUUAUUGGGUUUAAAGGGUGCGUAGGCUGUGAGGUAAGUCAGCGGUGAAAUGCCCCCGCUCAACGGGGUGAAGUGCCAUUGAUACUGCCUGGCUGGAAUGCGGAUGCCGUGGGAGGAAUGUGUGGUGUAGCGGUGAAAUGCAUAGAUAUCACACAGAACACCGAUUGCGAAGGCAUCUCACGAAUCCGCGAUUGACGCUGAUGCACGAAAGCGUGGGUAUCAAACAGGAUUAGAUACCCUAGUAGUC